This 1305-nucleotide small RNA is filed under the name Mytilus galloprovincialis (Mediterranean mussel). Lineage: Eukaryota; Metazoa; Mollusca; Bivalvia; Mytilida; Mytilidae. The record is from RNAcentral.
AUGGGUCGCAAGGGAAAAGAACUGACAUCUGAUCAGAAAAGUCGUCUCGCUGCAUUAAAUGAUGCAGGUUACAGAAAAAGUGAAAUCGUCAAAUUGACAGGCAUUAAACAGAGUACUGUUUACUGUUUUUUGAAGAGGUAUGAGCACCGGGGUGAUAUAGAAAACAUUCGGAGAACAGGCAGACCAAAAUCCUUUCAUGACCGGGACAUGAGAAAACUUUCCCGUUGUGUAAAAAAACAUCGCCGUAAAUCUUUAUCUGAAAUUACUAAUAUUUUUAAUGAGAGCAUUGAUCGACCUUUCUCUAAACGAACUGUUGAACGCAAAUUACAUUCUGAUGGGUUUCACAAGCGGUCAGUAAAGAAAAAAAUUCGUAUCCGUGAGGUCAACAAGAAGAAACGAGUGGCAUAUUGCAGGGGGAAUUUACAUAAAACUGUUAAUGCACACUGGAGUAAAGUAAUCUUCAGUGAUGAGUGCAAGGUAAUCAUUGGGCAGGAUUCUCGUGUCAGUGUCUGGAGAAAGGUCGGAGAAGAGUGGCUGAAACAGAUUGUAUUUGCCCUCCAUCUCAGCGCAAGUAUAGUUUAAUGAUCUGGGGAUGCAUCACUUACCAUGGUGUCGGAACUAUUACUGUUGUUGAAGGUAACAUAAAUGCCUUAAAAUACAUUGAAAUUAUUGACAAUAACUUGUGGCCAGUGGUUGUUCGUCAUUUUCCAGAUGAUAACUACGUUUUUCAAGAUGAUAAUGCCCCCCUCCAUCGAGCCCGAUCUGUUCAAGAUUUUCGUAGGGAAACGGGUCUAAAAAGCAUGAACUGGCCAGCUCAGAGUCCCGACCUCAAUAUUAUAGAGAAUUGUUGGUGGGUAUUAAAAAGGGAACUGCAAAAACGAACUCAGAACAUAAAUAAUACCAAAGACCUGGAACGUGAAAUUCGUGACAUAUGGGACAAAUUAACUGUUACUUACCUGAAAUCGUUGUAUAACAGCAUUCCAAGGAGGAUUUUACGAGUAAUGAGGAACAAAGGAAACAUAACAAAGUAUUGAGGUAGGAUUUUUUUAUUUUGUUACUUGUUAAAUAGUUCCAAGUUUUUUCAGGUGCAGAUUUACAUUGACUGGCGGCCAUUUUGUUUUUACGAAUACUUAUGGCGGACGACUGUAUAAUGGUUUACUUUUACAAAUAGUGACUUGGAUGGAGAGUUGUCUCAUUGGCACUCAUACCACAUCUUCUUAUAUCUAAACACAAAAACUCAACAUUGAUAAUUCACCAUAAAAAUCAGGUCAAAAUCAGGUGAAAACUGCCAGACAGACAUGUUCA